AUUGAACGCUGGCGGCAUGCCUUACACAUGCAAGUCGAACGGUAACAGGUCUUCGGAUGCUGACGAGUGGCGAACGGGUGAGUAAUACAUCGGAACGUGCCUAGUAGUGGGGGAUAACUACUCGAAAGAGUGGCUAAUACCGCAUGAGAUCUACGGAUGAAAGCAGGGGAUCGCAAGACCUUGUGCUACUAGAGCGGCCGAUGGCAGAUUAGGUAGCUGGUGGGAUAAAAGCUUACCAAGCCAACGAUCUGUAGCUGGUCUGAGAGGACGAUCAGCCACACUGGGACUGAGACACGGCCCAGACUCCUACGGGAGGCAGCAGUGGGGAAUUUUGGACAAUGUGCGAAAGCCUGAUCCAGCAAUGCCGCGUGCAGGAUGAAGGCCUUCGGGUUGUAAACUGCUUUUGUACGGAACGAAAAGCCCCGGGUUAAUACCCUGGGGUCAUGACGGUACCGUAAGAAUAAGCACCGGCUAACUACGUGCCAGCAGCCGCAGUAA
This 498-nucleotide ribosomal RNA is filed under the name uncultured bacterium. Its description in RNAcentral is "partial 16S ribosomal RNA". It matches the Rfam family "Bacterial small subunit ribosomal RNA", at positions 30 to 523 of the family's 1533-position model. The record is from RNAcentral.